This 76-nucleotide transfer RNA is filed under the name Candidatus Omnitrophota bacterium. RNAcentral's name for it is "Candidatus Omnitrophica bacterium (aquatic metagenome) tRNA-Lys". It matches the Rfam family "tRNA". From Rfam's summary of the family: Transfer RNA (tRNA) molecules are approximately 80 nucleotides in length. Lineage: Bacteria; Pseudomonadati; Candidatus Omnitrophota. The record is from RNAcentral.
GCCCGCAUAGCUCAGUUGGUAGAGCACCUGCCUCUUAAGUAGGCUGUCCCAGGUUCGAGUCCUGGUGCGGGUACCA